GAACAAUUUCCGCAGUAACAUUGGUGAUGACGUGCUGCUGACCCAAGUCCACCUCCCAAAAAGGGAAGAGGUCACCGUCAGCAGUGUGGACACAGGCAGGACUGUCGGAGUUUGUGUUAAUAGGCUUGAAAGUGCUUCCAGUGUUCCCGUUCACCGCCAGACAAGGCGGACCUGACACCUGAUUAUAUCCACCAUUGCUGUAGAGGGAACUGAUGUUGGUCGGCUUGCCCAGUGCCACGUUUACUGCAAAGGGAGAAGCAUCCGGAGAAAGACACGCGUUGCAUCCACCGUAUGUUUGACAGGAGCAGACGUCACCUGCUACAUUUACCAUGCGUAUACUAUUGCAGUGUCUUUAAGCCUGGCUCUGAACUUUAUGAUGUACUGUUCAAGGGGUGAGCGUUUUAGGGAAGAAAUUUUCUAAAGAAUAUAUGCCACUAAAGGUCAAAGUUUACUUCGUAAGAAAUUAAGAAAAGACAGUAAUCACUUAGACACGUUGCUACAAGAUGCCAAUACCGAAUCGAGAUAUACUUAAGGUCAACAUUCUUUGCUUAAAUGCAGUUGGCAGACAAAAUUUGUUACAAAGUUUCUGUCAUGGUAUGAUCUUUCAGUCAAAAUAUAAUACUGCCGGUACUAUUUUUAAAUUAACCCAUUGGCUAGUUUCUUGAACUACCAUUUACAUAGCAUCUUGAGGUGCCAUGGAUAUUACAUCUUUGCAUAAAACCUAAUGUGUUUUAUUACUGUUUGAUUUACAUGAGAUAUAAGCUAUGCACAAUGUUGCUGGCUAACAAUUUAUUAGAGGAAGAAAGGAAUUGAGAGAAGACGGAUCAAGGAGGAAGUGAAGUAAGGGGAGGAGAGACCAAGAAAUAGGAAGUGGGAGAAAGACAAAAAUAAGGCGGAGAGAAGGAAAGGCAGAUAAAGAUAAUUAGAGAGAGGUGAGAGAGAGACUGGGAUAAAAAGAAGAAAAGAAGAAAAAAUUUUAUACCAUGUUCCUCGGGACUUGUUAACUUAGUUUCUUAUAGCUAACGCAAGUACAGGUUACCAGAGGGGAUAUAGAGGGGCUGCACUCAUGGUAGCAAGGGAAACACGUCAGUUAGAGUUAUCUCUCGUAACGUGAUGCUAAGAAACGACAUGACACAAGCAAGCGAAAGUGAUCGUCUGAGGCAAGGUGGACAAUUUUGUUCUGGAACUAACUCUCAGAACGCCAGGUUUAAAUUAAGCUCGAAAGGAAAGUAGCUCCACACCUUCCCAAAGGACGAAGAGAGGUGCAAAAUAUGGAUGAAUUUUACACGAAGAAAAGAUUUUGACCAUCUUACACCAUCUGAUGUGUAUGGAAAAGGCUACUGUCUUUGUUCUGAUCAUUUCGAGGAAAGUCAGUACAACUGUCCAGCCCAAAAAUCAGAAGUCUUGUCUGGAAAGCUGUACCCACAGUUUUCUCCAUUCCAAAUCCACAAUGCAAGGUAACUUCUUCAAGAAAGCGACCGAUGGGCAGAAUGUCCGAAUUUACCUCUGCAAAGCAGCCCAGGAUUUCCCAGAAAGCUAUAGUCUUGCAUGAAGAACAAGCAGAUAUUGCAGUUGAGCCUGCAUACUCUAGAACUGUGCCAGAUUCUCCUACAAAAAGCUGAAAUACAUUUAAAUCUCAGUUGAUUCAACUUCUGUGGGAAAAGCUAAUAAGCAUUGACCUCUGUUGUCCACUUGGUGCAUGUGAUCUGAAAGGAAGUGGGAUUAAUCUAUUUAUCAAUGUUCGCCUUAAUUUUUCUCUUAAAGAUAGCUCUGUGUCCUUCUUUGAGAAAGGAACAAAAAGAAAUUGAAAAAUGUUGAAGUUACAUCAUUUGUAGCUUUUAAUCGAAAGUAACUUAAAAUUGUUUUAGAACAGUGUGAAAGAAAAUGUCAUAAAUCUUGAUUUAAAGUACAGGUGUGAAUGAUCCCUUUUGAGUAUCUGAUUGCUGUAUAUUUCAUAGUAAGCAUCGCUGUUACCUUUAAAUUGUUCACCAAUGUUUUUAACAAUAAGGGAUAUGAAUGUAUAUAUAUACAUUAUUAUCAAUAGUAGUAUUAUGAUUUGUUAUUUAUUAGGAGUAUUAGUAGUAUUAUGAUUUAUGUGAGAAAUUAUUGCAGCAUUCUUGUAUGUAAACAGAAAUCUAUAUCUCAGUAUGGGAGAAAGUCUUCUGAAUGUGAGCAUGUUUGUGUCAUGUUUAUAUUCGUGUGUAGGUCUGUUUUUAACUUCUUUUCUCAUAGUCAUAAAGUCUUGUAAAUUAUACUUUUAUGGAUUUUAAAUAAUGCAAAUUUAUGCUCAUGGAUGUGGUGUUUGAACUUAUCCUUUUUAAAUAUAGUCAGCUGUCAUACAUGUAUUCAAACUCUCCUAAACUACCCUCAUCUAUGCAAUUCCCAUAAAUAAAAGAUACAAAAAUCUGUUCUUAGAUAAAAGUCAUUUCAUAUUGCAAACACCUAGACAUUUACUUCAAAGAUAAACACUGCUAACGACUUUGUUUAGUAGUGGUUGAUAGCAACUGUGGCAUAGCAACAUGUUUCGAAGGGACGCAACUGCGUCACUACUUUUCUUAACAAGUAAGGACAGAGGAGUGCAGCCUCUCUAUAUCUAGCCUCUCUGGUUAAACGCAUAGUUGCAAGAUUCUUUCCUUUUUCAUUUAUGUUGGUUAUUUGUGUCUCUUUCAAAGUCCUUUCUUCUCUACUAUCUUUCCUUGCCCAGAACAGUCCUCUAUGGAGUCAUUUUGACAGCUAGGUUGAUCUGAGUUGUGGAUUUUUUUUUUUCAUUUUCCUGGCUGUAAAAA
This 2786-nucleotide long non-coding RNA is filed under the name Pomacea canaliculata. Its description in RNAcentral is "uncharacterized LOC112572710". The record is from RNAcentral. Lineage: Eukaryota; Metazoa; Mollusca; Gastropoda; Architaenioglossa; Ampullariidae.